AAGGUAGCGAAAUUCCUUGUCAGGUAAGUUCUGACCUGCACGAAUCGUGUAACGACUUCUGCGCUGUCUCAACCUCGGACUCAGCGAAAUUGUAGUGCCGGUGAAGAUGCCGGCUACCCGCAUCUGGACAGAAAGACCCUAUGAACCUUUACUGCAACUUGACGUUGGAACUUGGCUGUACUUGUGUAGGAUAGGUGGGAGACUUUGAAGCCGGGCCGCCAGGUCUGGCAGAGUCGUCGUUGAAAUACCACCCUGGUGCUGACGAGUUUCUAACCGUGACCGUAAGCCGGUCAUGAGACAGCGUCUGGUGGGCAGUUUGACUGGGGCGGUCGCCUCCUAAAAGGUAACGGAGGCAUUCAAAGGUCCCCUCAGCGUGGUCGGUAAUCACGCGCAGAGUGCAAACGCAUAAGGGGGCUUAACUGCGAGACCGACAGGUCGAGCAGGUACGAAAGUAGGAGUUAGUGAUCC
This 468-nucleotide ribosomal RNA is filed under the name uncultured bacterium. RNAcentral describes it as "bacterial LSU rRNA". It matches the Rfam family "Bacterial large subunit ribosomal RNA", at positions 1953 to 2421 of the family's 2925-position model. The record is from RNAcentral.